GCCAGACUCCUACGGGAGGCAGCAGUGGGGGAUAUUGCACAAUGGGGGGAACCCUGAUGCAGCGACGCCGCGUGGGUGAGGAAGUACCCCGGUAUGUAAAGCCCUUUCGGCAGGGAAGAAAAUGACGGUACCUGGCGAAGAAGCCCCGGCUAACUACGUGCCAGCAGCCGCGGUAAUACGUAGGGGGCAAGCGUUAUCCGGAUUUACUGGGUGUAAAGGGGGCGCAGACGGCGAUGCAAGCCAGGAGUGAAAGCCCGGGGCCCAACCCCGGGACUGCUCUUGGAACUGCGUGGCUGGAGUGCAGGAGGGGCAGGCGGAAUUCCUGGUGUAGCGGUGAAAUGCGUAGAUAUCAGGAGGAACACCGGUGGCGAAGGCGGCCUGCUGGACUGCAACUGACGUUGAGGCCCGAAAGCGUGGGGAGCAAACAGGAUUAGAUACCCUUGUA
RNAcentral lists this ribosomal RNA (445 nucleotides) under uncultured bacterium. RNAcentral's name for it is "bacterial SSU rRNA". It matches the Rfam family "Bacterial small subunit ribosomal RNA", at positions 330 to 792 of the family's 1533-position model. The record is from RNAcentral.